GACGAACGCUGGCGGCGUGCUUAACACAUGCAAGUCGAACGGAAAGGCCUGCAGCUUGCUGCGGGUACUCGAGUGGCGAACGGGUGAGUAACACGUGGGUGAUCUGCCUUGCACUUCGGGAUAAGCUUGGGAAACUGGGUCUAAUACCGGAUAGGACAGCUGUUUAGUGUCAGUUGUGGAAAGUUUUUUCGGUGCAAGAUGAGCUCGCGGCCUAUCAGCUUGUUGGUGGGGUAAUGGCCUACCAAGGCGUCGACGGGUAGCCGGCAUGAGAGGGUGUACGGCCACAUUGGGACUGAGAUACGGCCCAGACUCCUACGGGAGGCAGCAGUGGGGAAUAUUGCACAAUGGGCGGAAGCCUGAUGCAGCGACGCCGCGUGGGGGAUGAAGGCCUUCGGGUUGUAAACUCCUUUCGACAGGGACGAAGCUUUUGUGACGGUACCUGUAGAAGAAGCACCGGCUAACUACGUG
RNAcentral lists this ribosomal RNA (468 nucleotides) under uncultured bacterium. Its description in RNAcentral is "partial 16S ribosomal RNA". It matches the Rfam family "Bacterial small subunit ribosomal RNA", at positions 28 to 507 of the family's 1533-position model. The record is from RNAcentral.